RNAcentral lists this ribosomal RNA (466 nucleotides) under uncultured Actinomycetes bacterium. RNAcentral describes it as "bacterial SSU rRNA". It matches the Rfam family "Bacterial small subunit ribosomal RNA", at positions 8 to 489 of the family's 1533-position model. Lineage: Bacteria; Bacillati; Actinomycetota; Actinomycetes. The record is from RNAcentral.
AGAGUUUGAUCAUGGCUCAGGAUGAACGCUGGCGGCGUGCUUAACACAUGCAAGUCGAACGAAGUCCAUGGAGCUUGCUCCGGAAGAUUUAGUGGCGAACGGGUGCGUAACACGUGAGAAACCUGCCCUGGACUUUGGGAUAACAGUUGGAAACGGCUGCUAAUACCGAAUGUCGUCUUUUUCCCGCAUGGGGAUUUGAUGAAAGGUCCGCCGGUCCGGGAGGGUCUCACGGCCUAUCAGCUUGUUGGGGGGGUAAUGGCUCACCAAGGCAUCGACGGGUAGCUGGUCUGAGAGGAUGAUCAGCCACACUGGGACUGAGACACGGCCCAGACUCCUACGGGAGGCAGCAGUGGGGAAUCUUGCACAAUGGGCGCAAGCCUGAUGCAGCAACGCCGCGUGCGGGAAGAAGGCCUUAGGGUUGUAAACCGCUUUCAGUAGGGAAGAAAAUGACGUACCUACAGAAGAA